RNAcentral lists this ribosomal RNA (251 nucleotides) under uncultured prokaryote. RNAcentral's name for it is "partial 16S rRNA". It matches the Rfam family "Bacterial small subunit ribosomal RNA", at positions 525 to 775 of the family's 1533-position model. The record is from RNAcentral.
ACAGGCGUGGCAAGCGUUACUCGGAAUUAUUGGGUGUAAAGGGCAGGUAGGUGGCCGGAUAAGUGAGGGGUGAAAUCCUGCGGUUUAAUCGCAGAACUGCCUUUCAGACUGUUCGGCUUGAGAGUGAUAGAGGAAGAUGGAAUUCCCGGUGUAAGGGUGAAAUCUGUAGAUAUCGGGAAGAACACCAACGGCGAAGGCAAUCUUCUGGGUCACUUCUGACGCUGAGCUGCGAAAGCUAGGGGAGCAAGCAG